GAGAGAAAAAAGGCUGGACGGAGUGCGAGGUACCAGUGGUUGUUGGUGGGCAACGAAAGGACAAAGAAAGUGAACGGUGGACAUUUAUCAAGAGCUGAUCGACGUGUUCGACAAGGACUGUUGAAAGUUCAACUGGGAUAGUGUGUCGUUUGAGUGGAUUACUCAAAAUGUAAGUAAAGAGUAAAAUUGUGAUAGACAUUUAGAGUAAUUAAUAUUGAGUUAAUUUAUGAGUUUCAUACUUUGGAGUAAGAAAAGAACUCAGUUGGCUACCUCGUCAAAGUAUUUUAUAAUAGAGAGGCGCUACCUACAGUUGACAACUCUCAGCUGCAAAACAAGCAACUCAGCCUUGGACAUUUAAUCAACUUGUUGCAAUGGACAAACUGAAGCACGACAAAGUUAUUUUUUUUUUUAAAUAUCACAAACAUGAUGUGACUGGCAAGGAAGAAAUGGAUGUCACUCGCAGAUGUAGCUACAAUAUAAUACAAAGAGUGUAAACAGGUGAGAAAGGAACCGUACAUAUAUCGCUGGUGUGGGCUGGAAAACAUGCAUCUCCAAAGCUAUCACUGUUCUGGAAACCAAAAGACUGACUGCUCUAUAUUUGUAGACUGUGCAAUGCCUAAUAAAUACAUAAAUUGUU
This is a long non-coding RNA of Syngnathoides biaculeatus (alligator pipefish), 637 nucleotides long. RefSeq lists it as uncharacterized. Lineage: Eukaryota; Metazoa; Chordata; Actinopteri; Syngnathiformes; Syngnathidae. The transcript is spliced from 2 exons. The record is from RefSeq and is a predicted model, not a curated record.